This 78-nucleotide microRNA precursor is filed under the name Schistosoma haematobium. RNAcentral describes it as "mir-3492 microRNA precursor family". It matches the Rfam family "mir-3492 microRNA precursor family". The record is from Rfam by way of RNAcentral. Lineage: Eukaryota; Metazoa; Platyhelminthes; Trematoda; Strigeidida; Schistosomatidae.
AGCAUUCUGGAUCCGUAGAAAGAUUUCGUCAGACACCAACCCAUUAGGGCUGAUCAGACUUCCAAGAUAAGUGAAGUU